Molecule: ribosomal RNA, 493 nt
Filed under: uncultured bacterium
Lineage: Bacteria
Description: partial 16S ribosomal RNA
Rfam family: Bacterial small subunit ribosomal RNA
Source: RNAcentral
GAGUGAACGCUGGCGGUAGGCCUAACACAUGCAAGUCGAACGGCAGCACAGUAAGAGCUUGCUCUUACGGGUGGCGAGUGGCGGACGGGUGAGGAAUACAUCGGAAUCUACUUUUUCGUGGGGGAUAACGUAGGGAAACUUACGCUAAUACCGCAUACGACCUACGGGUGAAAGCAGGGGAUCUUCGGACCUUGCGCGAUUGAAUGAGCCGAUGUCGGAUUAGCUAGUUGGCGGGGUAAAGGCCCACCAAGGCGACGAUCCGUAGCUGGUCUGAGAGGAUGAUCAGCCACACUGGAACUGAGACACGGUCCAGACUCCUACGGGAGGCAGCAGUGGGGAAUAUUGGACAAUGGGCGCAAGCCUGAUCCAGCCAUACCGCGUGGGUGAAGAAGGCCUUCGGGUUGUAAAGCCCUUUUGUUGGGAAAGAAAGGCAGCAGGUUAAUACCCCGCUGUUCUGACGGUACCCAAAGAAUAAGCACCGGCUAACUUCGUG